GACGAACGCUAGCGGCGGGCUUAAUACAUGCAAGUCAAAUCUUAGCAAUAGGGUUGGCGCACGGGUGCGUAACACGUAUGCAACCUAUCCCUCAGUGGAGGAUAUACUUGGGAAACUGAGUGCAAUACUUCAUAUACUCUUAAUAACACCUGUUAUAGAGAGGAAAAGCGAUGCUGAGGGUUGGGCAUGCGUCUGAUUAGCUAGUUGGCGGGGUAACGGCCCACCAAGGCGACGAUCAGUAACUGGUCUGAGAGGAUGAUCAGUCACACUGGCACUGAGACACGGGCCAGACUCCUACGGGAGGCAGCAGUAGGGAAUAUUGGUCAAUGGACGCAAGUCUGAACCAGCCACGCCGCGUGGAGGAAGAAGGUUCUCUGGAUCGUAAACUCCUUUUAUAUGGGAAUAAAGACGGGCUAUACGCCUGAGCUGAAUGUACCAUAGGAAUAAGCCACGGCUAACUACGUG
RNAcentral lists this ribosomal RNA (465 nucleotides) under uncultured organism. RNAcentral's name for it is "bacterial SSU rRNA". It matches the Rfam family "Bacterial small subunit ribosomal RNA", at positions 28 to 507 of the family's 1533-position model. The record is from RNAcentral.